AGACGUCUACAUUAGAUACCCCCGUAGUCCCAGCCGUAAACUAUGCUCGCUAGGUGUCAGGCAUGGCGCGACCGUGUCUGGUGCCGCAGGGAAGCCGUGAAGCGAGCCACCUGGGAAGUACGGCCGCAAGGCUGAAACUUAAAGGAAUUGGCGGGGGAGCACCGCAACGGGAGGAGCGUGCGGUUUAAUUGGAUUCAACACCGUAAACUCACCAGGGAAGACUGUUACAUGAAGGCCGAGAUGAAGACUCUGCUAGAUUUUCAG
This 264-nucleotide ribosomal RNA is filed under the name uncultured archaeon. Its description in RNAcentral is "partial 16S ribosomal RNA". It matches the Rfam family "Archaeal small subunit ribosomal RNA", at positions 714 to 982 of the family's 1478-position model. The record is from RNAcentral.